GCCGGAAUAGCUCAGUCGA
RNAcentral lists this transfer RNA (19 nucleotides) under Gymnomitrion parvitextum. RNAcentral's name for it is "partial tRNA-Phe". RNAcentral also lists the same sequence under 2 other names. Lineage: Eukaryota; Viridiplantae; Streptophyta; Jungermanniopsida; Jungermanniales; Gymnomitriaceae. The record is from RNAcentral.